UAUAGCAGGGGUGUAAAUAAGUGGUACACAGGUGCGCAUGCGCGACCAGAAUAAAAAAUGCGCUGUGUAAAUAUGUUCAGAC
Molecule: long non-coding RNA, 82 nt
Organism: Sinocyclocheilus grahami
Lineage: Eukaryota; Metazoa; Chordata; Actinopteri; Cypriniformes; Cyprinidae
Exons: 3
Source: RefSeq, a predicted model, not a curated record